This 549-nucleotide ribosomal RNA is filed under the name Falcicyclidium citriforme. Its description in RNAcentral is "Falcicyclidium sp. FG-2018a partial small subunit ribosomal RNA". The stretch from base 1 to 463 matches the Rfam family "Bacterial small subunit ribosomal RNA", at positions 918 to 1533 of the family's 1533-position model. Lineage: Eukaryota; Ciliophora; Oligohymenophorea; Pleuronematida; Cyclidiidae. The record is from RNAcentral.
AAUUUGUUCAAACGGUGGAACAUGUGGUUUAAUUUGAUAAUCCACAAAAAAUCUUACCAAUAUUUUUUUUUUUUUGUUAAUUAUUAAUUUUUAUAUAUUUUAAAAAAUUAGGUAUUGCAUGGCUGUCGUCAGUUCGUGUUUUGAGAUGUAAAGUUUAGUCUUUUUUUACGAACGAAACUUAAAAUAAAAUUUAUAAUUUAUUUUUUAAAUAUUUUAUUUUUUUAUUUAGUUUUUAACUGAAGUCAAGUCUUUAUGAUCUGUAUAUAUUGGGCUAUACAUGUGUUACAAAAAAAAUGAUAAAAAGUUACAAAUAUGUGAAUAUGCGUAAAUCUUUAAUUAUUUUUUUGUUUAGAUUAUUUUAUGUAACUCUAAAAUAUGAAAAUGGAAUCGUUAGUAAUUGUAAAUUAUUAUUGUACAGUGAAAUUUUAGUCAAAUUUUGCACACACUGCCCAUCACGCUCGAAAAAUUAUUUAAAAUUAAUGUAAAAAAAUAUAUAGUUUUGGAUUAUUAAAUUUCUAUUUUUUUAAGUAAAUUUUAUAAUGAUAAUUU